CCUACGGGGGGCAGCAGUGGGGAAUAUUGCACAAUGGGCGAAAGCCUGAUGCAGCAACGCCGCGUGAGCGAUGAAGGCCUUUGGGUCGUAAAGCUCUGUCGGGAAGGAAGAUAAUGACGGUACUUCCCGAGGAAGCCCCGGCUAACUACGUGCCAGCAGCCGCGGUAAUACGUAGGGGGCGAGCGUUAUCCGGAAUUAUUGGGCGUAAAGAGUGCGUAGGUGGUUUCUUAAGCGUGGGGUGAAGGCCAUUGGCUUAACCAGUGUAAGCCUCGCGAACUGGGGAACUUGAGUGCAGGAGAGGAAAGCGGAAUUCCUAGUGUAGCGGUGAAAUGCGUAGAUAUUAGGAGGAACACCAGUGGCGAAGGCGGCUUUCUGGACUGUAACUGACACUGAGGCACGAAAGCGUGGGGAGCAAACAGGAUUAGAUACCCCAGUAGUC
This 439-nucleotide ribosomal RNA is filed under the name uncultured Eubacteriales bacterium. Its description in RNAcentral is "bacterial SSU rRNA". It matches the Rfam family "Bacterial small subunit ribosomal RNA", at positions 338 to 795 of the family's 1533-position model. Lineage: Bacteria; Bacillati; Bacillota; Clostridia; Eubacteriales. The record is from RNAcentral.